CAACAGGAGUGCUCACUCAGGCCCAUGGUCCUGGAGGCCGCCAAAGGCCUAUUGGAUUUUUCUCCUGCCAACUGGAUAUUGUGGCCAGAGGAAGUCCCUCUUGCCUUCGGGCCGUCUUUGCUGCCAGAGAGCUCAUUGAAAGAACUGGAGAUCUUGUCCUUGGCCACCCCCUGGUUGUCUUGGCCCCCCAUGACAUUUCUGCCAUAGUCAACCAGGUCCAACUUAAGCAUGUUACACCUGC
Non-coding RNA from Pelobates cultripes (western spadefoot toad), 241 nucleotides. The record is from the annotation of a GenBank genome assembly. NCBI's taxonomy places the organism in Eukaryota, Metazoa, Chordata, Amphibia, Anura, Pelobatidae.